RNAcentral lists this unclassified non-coding RNA (292 nucleotides) under Hevea brasiliensis (rubber tree). Lineage: Eukaryota; Viridiplantae; Streptophyta; Magnoliopsida; Malpighiales; Euphorbiaceae. The record is from RNAcentral.
GUUAUGAUGUGCAAUUUGACUGCUAUGGGAUUUUUGUUCUCUGUGUCAAGUUUUAUAUGUGUUGUUCAGUUUCACACAUGCAUGUGUGCAUGGCAUAACCAUGCCCAGUACUGUAGUCAAUAUGAAAUCUGCGGAAUUGCAAGUUUCAAAUUUUGAAAAAUGUCAGAAUGUUUUCAAUACUUGUAUAAUAACAUGUCAUGUGGAUUUGGAUGUGUUUGGGAGCAAGGUUUUCCUUGUGAUCAUUGUUGAAAUUUGUGAAGGAUUUUUGAUCCGGUAUUGAUUGAUAUUGUUU